This 164-nucleotide ribosomal RNA is filed under the name uncultured bacterium. RNAcentral describes it as "partial 16S rRNA". It matches the Rfam family "Bacterial small subunit ribosomal RNA", at positions 355 to 511 of the family's 1533-position model. The record is from RNAcentral.
UAGGGAAUCUUCCACAAUGGACGAAAGUCUGAUGGAGCAACGCCGCGUAAGUGAAGAAGGGUUUCGGCUCGUAAAACUCUGUUGUUAAAGAAGAACAUAUCUGAGAGUAACUGUUCAGGUAUUGACGGUAUUUAACCAGAAAGCCACGGCUAACUACGUGCCAG